CAAAGCGCCGGCUAACUACGUGCCAGCAGCCGCGGUAAUACGUAGAGCGCAAGCGUUAUCCGGAAUUAUUGGGCGUAAAGAGCUCGUAGGCGGUAUGUCGCGUCUGCUGUGAAAACCCGAGGCUCAACCUCGGGCCUGCAGUGGGUACGGGCAGACUAGAGUGCGGUAGGGGAGAUUGGAAUUCCUGGUGUAGCGGUGGAAUGCGCAGAUAUCAGGAGGAACACCGAUGGCGAAGGCAGAUCUCUGGGCCGUAACUGACGCUGAGGAGCGAAAGGGUGGGGAGCAAACAGGCUUAGAUACCCUGGUAGUCCACCCCGUAAACGUUGGGAACUAGUUGUGGGGACCAUUCCACGGUCUCCGUGACGCAGCUAACGCAUUAAGUUCCCCGCCUGGGGAGUACGGCCGCAAGGCUAAAACUCAAAGGAAUUGACGGGGACCCGCACAAGCGGCGGAGCAUGCGGAUUAAUUCGAUGCAACGCGAAGAACCUUACCAAGGCUUGACAUAUACGAGAACGGGCCAGAAAUGGUCAACUCUUUGGACACUCGUAAACAGGUGGUGCAUGGUUGUCGUCAGCUCGUGUCGUGAGAUGUUGGGUUAAGUCCCGCAACGAGCGCAACCCUCGUUCUAUGUUGCCAGCACGUAAUGGUGGGAACUCAUGGGAUACUGCCGGGGUCAACUCGGAGGAAGGUGGGGAUGACGUCAAAUCAUCAUGCCCCUUAUGUCUUGGGCUUCACGCAUGCUACAAUGGCCGGUACAAAGGGCUGCAAUACCGUAAGGUGGAGCGAAUCCCAAAAAGCCGGUCCCAGUUCGGAUUGAGGUCUGCAACUCGACCUCAUGAAGUCGGAGUCGCUAGUAAUCGCAGAUCAGCAACGCUGCGGUGAAUACGUUCCCGGGUCUUGUACACACCGCCCGUCAAGUCAUGAAAGUCGGUAACACCUGAAGCCGGUGGCCCAACCCUUGUGGAGGGAGCCGUCGAAGUGGAUCG
Molecule: ribosomal RNA, 986 nt
Filed under: Microbacterium testaceum
Lineage: Bacteria; Bacillati; Actinomycetota; Actinomycetes; Micrococcales; Microbacteriaceae
Description: bacterial SSU rRNA
Rfam family: Bacterial small subunit ribosomal RNA
Source: RNAcentral